This 250-nucleotide ribosomal RNA is filed under the name uncultured bacterium. RNAcentral describes it as "partial 16S ribosomal RNA". It matches the Rfam family "Bacterial small subunit ribosomal RNA", at positions 355 to 621 of the family's 1533-position model. The record is from RNAcentral.
GGAGGAAUAUUGCACAAUGGACGCAAGUCUGAUGCAGCAACGCCGCGUGGAGGAUGACGGUCUUUGGAUUGUAAACUCCUUUUCUCAGGGAAGAGAAUGGACGGUACCUGAGGAAUAAGUCACGGCUAACUACGUGCCAGCAGCCGCGGUAAUACGUAGGUGGCAAGCGUUAUCCGGAAUUACUGGGCGUAAAGCGCACGCAGGCGGUCUCUUAAGUUUGACGUGAAAGCUCCCGGCUUAACUGGGAGAG